GUACCUACCCAGGUUAAAMCAGAUAAUGGGCCAAGCCAUUGUUGAGUGUGCCCAUGGCACCCUGAAAACUAUGCUAAAAACAGAAAGGAGGAGUAGGGACUGCUACCCCUGAGGAAUGUCUACAGAAAGCCUUAUAUGUUUUUAACUUUUUGAAUUGUUCUUUAAUAGAUAAUAAUCCCCCGAUAGUUCGACAUUUUAAUGCAAAUUCUUCACUUGAAGCACAAAUUAAAGCUCCGGUGCUCGUAUGAGAUCCCGAAACACAAAAAGGCCCUCGAUGGAUUCCAGCAAAAAGUGUGCGGCCUUUCCGUGAAUCAUUACCACGAUCAUCGGACAACGAACUGGACCACUCCCAAGACAGACCUCCUGAGCAGCAAGC
This is a long non-coding RNA of Nothoprocta perdicaria, 376 nucleotides long. RefSeq lists it as uncharacterized. The transcript has 2 exons. Lineage: Eukaryota; Metazoa; Chordata; Aves; Tinamiformes; Tinamidae. The record is from RefSeq and is a predicted model, not a curated record.